RNAcentral lists this ribosomal RNA (467 nucleotides) under uncultured bacterium. RNAcentral's name for it is "partial 16S ribosomal RNA". It matches the Rfam family "Bacterial small subunit ribosomal RNA", at positions 28 to 507 of the family's 1533-position model. The record is from RNAcentral.
GAUGAACGCUGGCGGCGCGCCUAACACAUGCAAGUCGAACGAUUAAAGCACCUUCGGGUGUGUAUAAAGUGGCGAACGGCUGAGUAACACGUGGGCAACCUGCCCCUUUCAUUGGGAUAGCCACGGGAAACCGUGGAUAAUACCGAAUACUUCGAGACUUCCGCAUGGAAGACUCGAGAAAGCUCCGGCGGAGAGGGAUGGGCCCGCGGCCUGUUAGCUUGUUGGUGGGGUAACGGCCUACCAAGGCAAUGAUGGGUAGCUGGGUUGAGAGACCGACCAGCUAGAUUGGGACUGAGACACGGCCCAGACUCCUACGGGAGGCAGCAGUGGGGAAUCUUGCACAAUGGGCGAAAGCCUGAUGCAGCGACGCCGCGUGCGGGAUGAAGGCCUUCGGGUUGUAAACCGCUUUCAGCAGGGACGAGGCGAAAGUGACGGUACCUGCAGAAGAAGCCCCGGCUAACUACGUG